Molecule: long non-coding RNA, 213 nt
Filed under: Gossypium barbadense (sea-island cotton)
Lineage: Eukaryota; Viridiplantae; Streptophyta; Magnoliopsida; Malvales; Malvaceae
Description: long non-coding RNA (GBAR_LNC000072)
Source: RNAcentral
UCGAGGCAGAUAUUGUAUAGCUUUGGCGCACAAUUCAUGCAACCAGAGUUCGCACUUUACACAUGCGUAGGCUGCACCACAGAUUUUCUCCGUGCAUUUCUCACACCAUUUAUCAUCUGUCUCAUCAUCGAGACAAUGAUAGCCUAUUGAAUGCUCAUGACUGGCAAGUUUGAUCUCCAUAUCUCAAACAAAGAUAAGAUCAAAUGAUAAAAG